UCAGGCAUGGUGUAGUGGGAACACGGCCUCUAGUUAUGUUCUAUCGCUUCUCUUUUAUGAAGGCAAUCCAGGGUUCGACUCCCUGUAUCUGAG
Non-coding RNA from Mycena vulgaris, 93 nucleotides. The record is from the annotation of a GenBank genome assembly. Lineage: Eukaryota; Fungi; Basidiomycota; Agaricomycetes; Agaricales; Mycenaceae.